GCCCUGGUGGUGCAAACGGUUAAGCACUCAGCUGCUAACUGAAAGGUUGGUGGUUCAAGCCCACUCAGCGGCU
Molecule: transfer RNA, 73 nt
Filed under: Loxodonta africana (African savanna elephant)
Lineage: Eukaryota; Metazoa; Chordata; Mammalia; Proboscidea; Elephantidae
Rfam family: tRNA
About the family: Transfer RNA (tRNA) molecules are approximately 80 nucleotides in length.
Source: Rfam by way of RNAcentral